Dermochelys coriacea (leatherback sea turtle) is the source of this 1579-nucleotide long non-coding RNA. RefSeq lists it as uncharacterized. The record is from RefSeq and is a predicted model, not a curated record. The transcript has 2 exons. Lineage: Eukaryota; Metazoa; Chordata; Testudines; Dermochelyidae.
UAGGCUGACCUCUCUUUGGAGCGUGGAUCAUUUUUGUUCAGUGUUUGUACAGGAUGUGGUAUACUGUGGGACCAGGACCACAAAUGUGAAUCUGAUCUAGGCACCACUGCGAUAUAAAUAAUAAAAUGCUAUUGGUUGACAUGUGAAGAGACUGUGGCUACCACAAAUCAGUAGAGAAAUCCAGGGGCUGUUUUCUGGCUGGUGUACAGAGAUGCCAGAGAGUUUUGCCUUUUAGAUGGCCUUUGGACAGGCUUCAGCACUUGGCAGCAGGAAUUAGUGAUUUAAGCCCCCACCCACCAAACCUGUUGAGCCGACUCCAGAGACUAACCUCAAUGCAAGGUGAUGGCCACUGGUGUGUCCCUGUCAGAGCUUGUAGGGGUCUCACAAUCCUCUGAGGCUUGUGGAGAGAUUGAGUACAACCCUCAGCACUGGACACCUGGUGGCACUGUAGAAGACCAACAGACCCAGCAGGCGAGAUUGAACCUGGGGCCUCUGGAACUUAGUGCAUGAGCUAAAAGCCAUAUGGCCCUUAGCUAAGGCUGUAGAGAGAGAUUAAUGAUUCUGCAUUAAGUGGUCUCGAUGCCACUAGAUGGGACAGAACACCCCCACCCAGGAAGUGUGUGGGUUAUACUAGCCCUGAAGCCACUCACAGUGUCUCAAGCCAGCUGUCCUAGUCCCAUGUAAGGCCAGCCUCAGUGCAUAAACAGCUACAAAAUCUCAGGUGUGGAGGUGGGCUGUACUACUCAGACUGCAGGGGCUGCAUGUCCCACCUUCUGUCCGUGGCACUGCAGCCCUUCAAAAUCCUGUCACUUUGGGAAAUGGAGCCAGUUGCACAGUGGAGGCUUGAAACCCUGGAGUGAGAAUCCUGCAAGAUGAUCUCUUCAAGAGAAGCACAAGUGCAAGGUUAGAGAUGAUCCCUUUCAACAAGUCACUUGUAAAGAGGAACAAGAUUGCAAAAUAGAAACAAGUGGGAGUUUCCAAACAUUGUUUUUUCUCCUUUCUUUUUACAUUCAGAGCUGAAUAAUACUGCCCUGCCAGUUGAUGGUCAGGGGGAAAUCAACCCUCCAGCCUCAUUCAGAGGGACCAUUACUGCUACAAGCAGCCAGGACUACUCCCAUCUUCCAGUCCAUUCUGCAGUGUAACCAGCACAAUUAUGGCUGCUCACGAUUUGGGGAGAGAACUGCAGUGACAAAACAAAAAAAAGAGGAAGGUCUCUUGUUCUCUCUCCCCACUCUAAUGCAGCCAUGAUUUGGCCCACAGUAUUUACCAGGCCAAAUAUAACCUAGAUCCCCAGCAAGUCCGAAGUCAAACUGUACCCUUGAGCAAUAAAAAUCAUGCUGCUGUCAUUAUACAUUUUUGAUUUUAUUGUUUUUUUUUUAAAACCAACAGUUAUUACAAAUGAAUCAUUUGAAGGUUUCUGAGAAGGAGAAGUCUCAUUACAGAUAUGAUGUAUUUUCAGUCUUCUUGUGAACCGAGACAGCAAAGUCAAAUCCAUAUGCAUAAACAAAACCAAACAAAACUAGAACAGUUCACACUGCAGUUUAUAUCAUGCAAAUUCCCUAACAGAAGGUUUUUAAAA